Molecule: small RNA, 472 nt
Filed under: Histoplasma capsulatum
Lineage: Eukaryota; Fungi; Ascomycota; Eurotiomycetes; Onygenales; Ajellomycetaceae
Also listed under: 1 other name
Description: hypothetical RNA
Source: RNAcentral
GAUGAUUAGGAAGGCCAGCGACGCAAGAAGCAGAGUUGGCCCUUGACGACUACUAGUAGUUGCCAUGUGUUGUCGGGAUGGACCGAGAACAGCAAUAAUGCAAUGAGAACAGGCACCUGUCGAUAGGGCAAACUAGUAAUAUAAAUCAGACGUUCUAUACAUACACAGUACAUUUCAAUAUAAAUCAUGAGGAAAUUAUCCUUUUAGCCUAGUGGCAAAAGUCCAAUUCUCCAACAAGAAGGGGCAUUAGUCCAGAUGUGAAGGGUGGGAAGUUUGGGUUCACUGAUAAUGUUGGUUUGAUGGCCCCUGUGCGGUGAAACAUCACAAGUGAUUUCUCCGUGGUUCUCAUUUUUGACCUAAGGACAAGACCCCAGUAAUUUGAGAGCCUCAGAGGAGAAGGGGCAGCGCUCGGCAGGUGCUUUCUUUCUUGGAGAGACGGGUGGAAGUGGAAGAAAUAUUUCGAAAAGAGAAA